RNAcentral lists this ribosomal RNA (253 nucleotides) under uncultured bacterium. RNAcentral's name for it is "partial 16S ribosomal RNA". It matches the Rfam family "Bacterial small subunit ribosomal RNA", at positions 524 to 776 of the family's 1533-position model. The record is from RNAcentral.
UACGGAGGGUGCAAGCGUUGCUCGGAAUUAUUGGGCGUAAAGGGUAGGUAGGUGGUCUCAUUUGUCUGGGGCGAAAGCCUUGAGCUUAACUCAAGAAGUGCCCCAGAAACGGUGAGACUCGAGUCCUGGAGAGGGUCGUGGAAUUCCCGGUGUAGCGGUGAAAUGCGUAGAGAUCGGGAGGAACACCAGAGGCGAAGGCGGCGACCUGGACAGGAACUGACACUCAACUACGAAAGCGUGGGGAGCAAACAGG